CAAUAAAAAAAAAAAAGUAACAAUGUGAUUUUGAUUCAACAUCUUGCUUGCACUCUCAGUGCAACACAACAACAACUGACUUAAAGGCAUACUCCAUCCCAAAAUGGAAAUUGUCAUUAUUCACUUACCCCCAUGUCGUUCCAAACCCGUAAAAGUUUUGUUUGUCUUCGGAACACAAUUUAAGAUAUUUUGGAUGAAAAAAGGGAGUCUUGAGACUAUCCCAGUAUUCCCGUCGCUUCAUAACUUAAUUAAAAAUCUAUUUAAUUGCAAAUUUAGUUUCCCACCCACACCAACACAGAGAGAAAGACACAAGAAAUCUCAAAUGGCGUUUUAUUACAUUAAAAGCUAAGCCUUUUAAAAAAAAAACAAAUAUCCAAAUCACAAUCUCCUCCUCAACCCAGCAGAGACAAUAAAACCAUAACUUGUCCAAUAUUCUGCCCAGGGUAAUACCAAAGUCCGGUCUGAAAUCAGCCCAGUGAUUCCCCUGCCACUGGUAAAAAUAAAUGUCUGUUUCAGUAGGAUCUCAAAUGACCGGCUUCAACCGAAUCCAGGACCAGGAUCUCCACAGCGCCGCCCCGCGUCUGUCAGUGGGAAAUCAGAAAAAGUAAUUGGGUAGUUUGCACGUAGCCGACAACUGCCAAAACUCAGAUGAAUGGAAUAACAACUUUCCUUUCCUAUACUUCAAAUGGACACAUCAGCAAUACUAUCGUGUCUGCCACUCUGCCGUCGGCUCCCCCGAAUCUGUCACCUUUACAGAGAUGAACAACUAAGAACGACUCCUUUAACACAAUGCUAAGCACACACACACGCGUGCAUUAGCGUGGAAAAAAGAAAGAAUCACUUUCCUUCAAUCGGGGGUUCGUGAGCGUUGACACUGCAGAAUCCGAGAUUCCGUUCUACCAGCGUACAGGAGAUCCAGUCAGCAACAACACAGAGCGGCGAGAUCAGUGAGCGCCCACCCGCUUCAGUACACGGCUCGUUCCUCCGUCCAGAGCGUUCCCCCGGUAAGAGAUCUAGCUCCCUUUUUAUCCGAAUGACUUGAUCAGCUGGCAAAUUAGAUCGCUGAUGUAAACGGGGUUGUACAUGUGUGUCAAUUAGUGUUUGUUGUUGCAGUUUGUGAAGGAGGAAAAACGACACCAAAAAUCCAAAACACCACAGCAAACAAGAGAAAAACCACAGCACACCAUACAAUUAAUCCACAACAAACAAAUAUAUAUAUAAAAAAGGUUAAGAGUACACAUUGCUAUAACAAAAUCAUUUUCCCACAAAAUAAGGUUAACCCUCAAAUCACACUGCUCCACUUGUUUUAUAAUAUAUAACAAUGGCAGAUGGACUAUUCUGACGAUGCUUUUCAUACUUUCCUGGACCUUGACACUGUUAUUUAUUUGGCAGUCUAUGGGACAGUCUCAAGCCGAUUUUCAUCCAAAAUAUCUUAAAAUUGUGUUCCGAAGACGAACAAAGCUUUUACGGAUUUGGAACGACAUGGGGGGGCCAAGCACCAAAGGGGCGUAUUAUUGAGAUGUUUUUUUUGAAAGUCUGGACAGCAAAAAGAAAAGGAAAGGAAAGGAAAGGAAAGGAAAGGAAAGGAAAGGAAAGAAUACUCCAGGGACUGAGGGUGUUGUUGGUGCAUCCGUGACAGUUCCCUCUCCCCCACGGGCGUCUCCAGACGUCCGAGAACCACGAUGACGAGGGUGACCUCCGGGUGGAGUUGGUGGUAGCCAUCACAUAACAAAGGGCCACCAAUACCUUCCCUCGAGGAGUGAGAGGGUUCGCUGCCUGCCUGGAUAACCGGAUCCCGGAGACGCAUGUACAGAGUCCAGAAGGGAAAUUCGGAAAGAGGUUGGUGCAUUUGUUCUACCUUCUGGACCUCCCGGUGGAGCAGGAUCUUCUUCGGUGGCGGCAUGGAUGUCGUCGUCGAGAGACCAGAUGAUGGGAAAUACAAAUAGGUCUGGAGGGAGCAACGGUUCCGGUUCUGGUUCCACAGAUACAGGGUUGGGUGAGUGGAUUCUGGAUAGAGCAUCAGCUUUCAUAUUCUUAUGACAUGGACGGUAGUUGACUAUGAAGUUGAAUCGAGUGAAGAAUAAUACCCAUCGAUCCUGUCUGGGGUUUAGGCGCUUUGCUUCUCUGAGGUACUGUAAGUUUUUAUGGUCAGUAAUGACUUCAAAUGGAUGAUUUGCUCCCUCCAGCCAGUGCCGCCACUCUUCAAGGGCAAGCUUAAUGGAUAGCAGUUCUCAGUUACUGAUGUCAUAGUUCUGCUCUGCCGGGGAUAGUUUUUAGAGAAGUAGACACAUGGAUGGAGUACUGGGGGCUUACCUCUCCACUGGGAUAACAUUGCUCCCACUCCAAGGGAUGAAGUGUCCACUUUAAUGAUGAAGGGUCUUGUUGGGUCUGGGUGCCAGUGAGCUGGAUAAGUGCAGAAGGCGGCUUUUAGCUUCUGGGAGGCUUUGACUGCAUCCGGUGUCCAACA
Cyprinus carpio carpio is the source of this 2467-nucleotide long non-coding RNA. The record is from Ensembl. NCBI's taxonomy places the organism in Eukaryota, Metazoa, Chordata, Actinopteri, Cypriniformes, Cyprinidae.